RNAcentral lists this ribosomal RNA (494 nucleotides) under uncultured bacterium. Its description in RNAcentral is "partial 16S ribosomal RNA". It matches the Rfam family "Bacterial small subunit ribosomal RNA", at positions 28 to 507 of the family's 1533-position model. The record is from RNAcentral.
GACGAACGCUGGCGGCGCGCUUAACACAUGCAAGUCGAACGGAAAGGCCUGCUUUCCCUUGUGGUUUGCGGGUACUCGAGUGGCGAACGGGUGAGUAACACGCGAGUGAUUUGCCCCUAACUCGGGUAUAAGCCUGGGAAACCGGGUCUAAUUCCCGAUAGGACUGCAGGGUGGGGCCUGUGGUGGUAAAUGAGUUUUUAGUGCUCGGGGUUGAGCCCGCGGCCUAUCAGCUUGUUGGUGGGGUAAUGGCCCACCAAGGCGGCGACGGGUAGCCGGCGUGUGGGGGUCGACAGCGGCAGUGGGACUGAGUUACGACCCAGACUCGUACGGGAGGCAGCAGUGGGGCAGAAUGGGGAAAGAGCGGAAGCCUGGUGCAGCGACGCCGCGUGGAGGAUGACGGGCUUCGGGUGGUAUUCUCCUUGCGACCGCGAGUCAGCCAUGUGGAUGGACGUGUGGUGACGGUAGUGGUAGAAGAAGCACCGGCUAACUACGUG